Molecule: ribosomal RNA, 301 nt
Filed under: uncultured bacterium
Lineage: Bacteria
Description: partial 16S ribosomal RNA
Rfam family: Bacterial small subunit ribosomal RNA
Source: RNAcentral
CAGUAGCCGCGGUAACACGGAGGGGGCUAGCGUUGUUCGGAAUUACUGGGCGUAAAGCGUGCGUAGGCGGUGAGUUAAGUCUGCUGUGAAAUCCCCGGGCUCAACCUGGGAAUGGCAGUGGAUACUGGCUCGCUAGAGUGUGUCAGAGGAUGGUGGAAUUCCCGGUGUAGCGGUGAAAUGCGUAGAGAUCGGGAGGAACAUCAGUGGCGAAGGCGGCCAUCUGGGACAACACUGACGCUGAGGCACGAAAGCGUGGGGAGCAAACAGGAUUAGAUACCCCAGUAGUCCCUGUCUCUUAUAC